This 224-nucleotide long non-coding RNA is filed under the name Lathyrus oleraceus (garden pea). Its description in RNAcentral is "Pisum sativum (pea) long non-coding RNA (PSAT_LNC008926)". The record is from RNAcentral. Lineage: Eukaryota; Viridiplantae; Streptophyta; Magnoliopsida; Fabales; Fabaceae.
GUUGGAAGAAUGAUGGUGAUGGUAGUCGAGAUCUUAGCGUAUGAUAUCUCUUUUAUAUCUAGAAACAACAUCAAGGAACAUGCUCUAGCACACUUUCUAUUUGAGUUUAGCAUGCAGACAGAAACAUAAACUACAUGCCUUGGACCUUAUCAGUAGACGGGUCUUCAAAUUUAAAAGGAAGUGGUGUCAGGAUUGUAUUAGAAGGACCUAGAAAUAUAUUGUAA